This 372-nucleotide ribosomal RNA is filed under the name uncultured bacterium. RNAcentral's name for it is "bacterial SSU rRNA". It matches the Rfam family "Bacterial small subunit ribosomal RNA", at positions 523 to 898 of the family's 1533-position model. The record is from RNAcentral.
AUACGUAGGGGGCGAGCGUUGUCCGGAUUUACUGGGCGUAAAGGGUGAGUAGGCGGUUAUAUAUGUCAGGUGUAAAAAGCUAUGGCUUAACCAUAGUAAGCACUUGAAACUGUAUGACUUGAGUGCAGGAGAGGUAAGCGGAAUUCCUAGUGUAGCGGUGAAAUGCGUAGAUAUUAGGAGGAACACCGGUGGCGAAGGCGGCUUACUGGACUGUAACUGACGCUGAGUCACGAAAGCGUGGGUAGCAAACAGGAUUAGAUACCCUGGUAGUCCACGCCGUAAACGAUGAGUGCUAGGUGUUGGGUAGCAAUGCUCAGUGCCGAAGUAAACACAAUAAGCACUCCGCCUGGGGAGUACGUACGCAAGUAUGAA